Long non-coding RNA from Stylophora pistillata, 2659 nucleotides. The record is from RefSeq and is a predicted model, not a curated record. NCBI's taxonomy places the organism in Eukaryota, Metazoa, Cnidaria, Anthozoa, Scleractinia, Pocilloporidae.
CUGUGAUAUAUUGUUCUGAGGCAAAAAAAACUUCAAAGGCUUGUUAUUAGAUGUAAGCAAGAGAAUUCCUUGUAAGCAAAAUCAUCGCAUUCAAAUGCAAAUUUUUAAUGAGUGAUCCCACAUUUCCUCUGGCGAUUUUAGUUUUCCCAAAUUGUCAUGGAUGGCAUCGACUUGCUCUGAAAUCUUAGUCUCCAAAACUCUCUAUCUUAACAAACCAUAAAAAGCACUCCACAGCGAUUUUGCUGAAACAGCAAAGCCCUCAAUUCGAACCAAUUCAAUUCAAUCCGCUGAUCCACAAAUCCGGCCCAAAUAUAGGCUCCGUGUAGCCUCUUGUUCAGUAACAGAUGGUUGCCUCAAAAUAAUCUUCCAUGUAAUUUUGCAGUGGAAAGCUCUACUUGAUCUCUUACAGCCUCUGGACAAAGAUACUUUCUGGUCUCCAUUCUUUAAACAAGUGAAAGUAGAUUGUACCGAGAGAAAGUAUUACUCUUCAAAGGAUAAUAAGAAGCAGCUCCGCAUUGAGUACGUGGAAUGGUUAUGCAAGACAACCGCAAUUGUCCGUUUUACUUUACAUCUGGCAAAAUCACUUAUAAUUAAAUAUUACACUUUGGCAAUCGCCACAUCAGUUCUACAACUGAACUUUAAGUAAAAUAUGCAGAUUGUGUGAAAGGUGAAGGGUUCAAUUGAUCUCUUAAGUUAACUGAAAUGUAAGCUUAAAUAUAAAUAAGAAACACUUAACUUUAACUCGUAUUGUCUUAGGGUUUUGAAAUUCGGCACCACUCUAUGCAAUUGUAUAAAAUGCAUGGCAUCUUAUUCCAAAUGCAAUUGCUGCACUCGCUGACUUUCUUCCAUUUAGAAUCCCUUAUAGACAACCUUAUUCUUCCACUUUUUGUGUUAUACGCUCCAUUUUUGAGUUAAUCACCAGAAAGCUUAGUAACCAAGCACAUUUUGUAUAUCUUGACUUUUUUGGUUUUCAGUACAACUCAGAGCCCUUUUUUUUAAAGUUACAGUUGUGAAUUUUUGUUAGAGUAAAAGAGUGGUCGGAUUCUCCAGGUUUUGGGCCUUUUGCACGCUUUUUGCCCUUUGCAACAAAUGCUACUUGGGAGUAUUCUCGAUGCAGCAAGAUUAUUCUUUGUGAGGGUGCUUUCCGAUCAUUCAAUCAAUCAAACAAUCAAUCACUUUAUUUAAGAGUAAAUUAUGGUAUCUCGCCAAUGGUAAAACCCUCUUCUAACUGGGAACACUUAAAUAAAGUAAAUAAAAUAACUGAAGAACCUUCGUCACCCAUAUUUUCUCCUGCUUUGAGCAGUUUGCUUGUCUUCAAUUUGAGUUCCCAUGUCUCUUAUGGUUCUCUGCUCUGCUCUGCCAGGCCAAUGCGAUUAAUUUACUUCUGACUUUUCCGCACUCUUAUCAAAAGCCCACUGGCAGUAUGUAAAAAAGAGCCUUCCCGGUCUCAUUACAAAACUACCAAAUGUGGAAAACAGAAGCUAACUUUAUAAACAGAUUCGAACUGAUGAAUCACAACUGACUAGCUUACUCUUCAGUUCUUGAGUUGGAAAGUCAGCAAAAAAAAAAAAAAAAUGGUCGUCUUGAGUACAAUGGUUGAUCAAUAAAUGUGGUGCUCAUUUUUAACUCUCUUAAUUAAUUCAAUGUGUGAAUUCAAAAUUUACCCUCUCGCUAUUUCAAAAUACCUACCAGAAACAUCUAACAUUGCAGGUUCGUUUUAUAAGUAGACAAGUGAUUGUAAAUGAAUCUGGUUUAACCCUAAAACUCCCAUGGUCUGAUUGCUAAUUCUCCCUUGUACCUGCUACACAUUUUGUAAAUUGGUUACUAAAAUUUGAUAUUCAGUUUUGAGUUUUGAGUUUUUUUUUUGGAGUUUUUAUAGAUUUGUACAGUGUACAGGUGAGAGAACAAUGGGACACGUAGUCCCCUACUAGGUUCACCCACCUAAACCAACUGAGCCGAACAACUGAACAGCCCAUAGAACUCACAAUAACAAUUUCCUAGUUUAUUCCUCUUCAAUCUAAUUCACCAAACUCUCACUAAAUUCAGUGGAAAAACUUUCCAUAAACUCACGCUCUCACAACCUACUUGUUCUUUUUUCCACACACACAUGCUCUCACCACCUUAUUUGGUAGUCCUAGCCCAAAUUUGUUAGUACUGCUUAACAUCACAAAACUGUGAGGGGUGGGCUUGGUAAAACUCUCGUACACAACUCCUAACCAUUUCUCAAGAUAACAACUUCCACACAAUAAGUUUGAGUAUUCUCAUUACCAGUUUGCUGGAUAAUGUGUGGAUACUACAGGGAGAAGUUACAUGUUGAUCACUUCUGGGAGUUAAAGCCAAGAGGUGCAAUUCACCUAGUCAUAACCCAAUUCUCUCGUCUACAUAGUGUGGCAGAUGUAUACAUGAUUUUUCCCAUUUACACCAUAAAUUUCACCACGAAAAAUCUCCUUUACACGCACAAGAUCUCGUCAAGUUUUGCCAUACUUUGCAGACUGGGUUAUUCGAGCAAUGAAUUCUUUGAAUCAUAUUAAUUAUAAAAUUGAUUUAUUCACCAAAAUGUUAGUUAAUACCAGUUAUAUCAUUGGGUGGGUUAAUAAUAUUCGAAUGUAUUUAGUACGAGUCGCUGGCUCACUGUACAUCUCGAAUUGAAAUAAAUGAA